CCGACUUUAGCUCAGUUGGUAGAGCAGAGGACUGUAGUUGGAGUACUAGUCUAAGCUGAAAUCCUUAGGUCGUUGGUUCGAAUCAGGCAGGUCGGA
Molecule: transfer RNA, 96 nt
Organism: Ipomoea nil (Japanese morning glory)
Lineage: Eukaryota; Viridiplantae; Streptophyta; Magnoliopsida; Solanales; Convolvulaceae
Rfam family: tRNA
About the family: Transfer RNA (tRNA) molecules are approximately 80 nucleotides in length. Their secondary structure includes four short double-helical elements and three loops (D, anti-codon, and T loops). Further hydrogen bonds mediate the characteristic L-shaped molecular structure. tRNAs have two regions of fundamental functional importance: the anti-codon, which is responsible for specific mRNA codon recognition, and the 3' end, to which the tRNAs corresponding amino acid is attached (by aminoacyl-tRNA synthetases). tRNAs cope with the degeneracy of the genetic code in two manners: having more than one tRNA (with a specific anti-codon) for a particular amino acid; and 'wobble' base-pairing, i.e. permitting non-standard base-pairing at the 3rd anti-codon position.
Source: Rfam